GAGCAGGACAUGCUGUGUACGAGUGAGUCAUGCUGACGACGAGCAGGACAUCCUGUGUACGAGUGAGUCGUGCUGCAUAUAAGCAGGUCACGCUGUCGACAAGCAGGUCGUGCUUUACGAUGUACGAUGGUGUACGAUGCAUGAUUGUGGGAUGAAGGAGAACGGAAUCACCUUCGAGAUCUCGAUUUGAGCCGAAGCAUCAUGAUGGCAACCCUUGAUGAUGAAGAAGAAGAAGAAGAUAUAGAUACUGAUGACGAGGUUCUUCAAAUCGUACCGCCAGAGGAGUUUGGGAAUGACAAGUUUGAAGCCUCAUUGAGAGACGCUGAUGGCAUCAAGAUUCCCACCGAUGAGGAUACACAAAUUCCUGUCGGUAUUGAAGAACCAUUGGAUGUUGAUGGAGACUUCGAUGUGGAACCGAUGGAUGUUGAUGGAGAUUUCGAUGUGGAACCGAUGGAUGUUGACGGGGACUUCGAUGUGGAACCAAUGGAUGUUGAUGGAGACUUUCAUGUGGAUUCGAUGGAUGUUGUGAGAGGCUUUGUUCAUCGGAAGAGAGUUAAGCUGGUUGCUCGGCUGGCUCUUCUUGGUUCGUGGAGCUCUUUGUUCUCCGCUUGGUUCCCGGCUUGGUGCGACUCAUCGGCCUCAUCUUGGAGGUGGUUCCUCGGGGAAGCGACGCAUCGACGGGAAGGAUCGGCACCUCGUCUCACCAGCACGUGUUCGGAAGCGCGAGAGGAUUCGCUGGAGCUCAGGAAGGAUCGCAGCUCACAGCGAAUGGAUCCAGCUCGCUCUCGCUGGAGCCUGGGUCCGAACAGCUUGAAGACCAUACGAGGUGGAGAGAUUCGAGAUAGGUUCUGGGUUUCAGCUCAUCUGUCCUCUGAAUUGAAGUCCUUAUUAAGGGCAUCAGCCACCAUUUAUUGGGUGGACUACAUGAAAAAAUGUUGCUUAUCCUACAGGAUAAGUCCAAGUUUCGACAGCUGGGAAGCGUGGAUUCACAUGACUGCACAUCACGCUUGGAGAAUGAAAUCGGCUCUCUUCAUCCGAAAAUGUACGGUCGACUGA
This 1056-nucleotide long non-coding RNA is filed under the name Eptatretus burgeri (inshore hagfish). RNAcentral describes it as "lncRNA (ENSEBUG00000017401.1)". Lineage: Eukaryota; Metazoa; Chordata; Myxini; Myxiniformes; Myxinidae. The record is from RNAcentral.